Molecule: ribosomal RNA, 463 nt
Filed under: uncultured bacterium
Lineage: Bacteria
Description: bacterial SSU rRNA
Rfam family: Bacterial small subunit ribosomal RNA
Source: RNAcentral
GACGAACGCUGGCGGCGUGCCUAACACAUGCAAGUCAACUUGACUGAAGGAGCAAUCUGACAGUAGAGUGGCGCAAGGGUGCGUAACGCGUAAGUAACUUGCCCAAGGUAAGGAAUAACGUCGAGAAAUCGGCGCUAAUACCUCAUAAUGCAGCGGAUCCGCAUGGAUAUGUUGUUAAAGGUUUACCGCCUUGGGAUAGGCUUGCGUCUGAUUAGCUAGUUGGUGUGGUAACGGCACACCAAGGCUACGAUCAGUAACUGGUCUGAGAGGAUGAUCAGUCACACUGGAACUGAGACACGGUCCAGACUCCUACGGGAGGCAGCAGUGAGGAAUAUUGGGCAAUGCUCGAAAGAGUGACCCAGCAAACGCCGCGUGGAGGAUGAAGGUAUUCUAUAUCGUAAACUCCUGUGAGAGCAGACGAAAGACAGAUUAUUAAUCUGGAUGACUGUAUGCUCAGAGGAAG